Molecule: ribosomal RNA, 460 nt
Filed under: uncultured bacterium
Lineage: Bacteria
Description: partial 16S ribosomal RNA
Rfam family: Bacterial small subunit ribosomal RNA
Source: RNAcentral
CCUACGGGGUGCAGCAGUGGGGAAUAUUGGUCAAUGGACGAGAGCCUGAACCAGCCACGCCGCGUGAAGGAUGACUGCUCUCUGGGUUGUAAACUUCUUUUAUAUGGGAAUAACAUGUUCCACGUGUGGGAUUUUGUAUGUACCAUAUGAAUAAGGAUCGGCUAACUCCGGGCCAGCAGCCGCGGUAAUACGGAGGAUCCGAGCGUUAUACGGAUUUAGUGGGUUUAAAGGGAGUGUAGGUGGAGUGCUAAGUCAGUUGUGAAAGUUUGCGGCUCAACCGUAAAAUUGCAGUUGAAACUGGCAGUCUUGAGUACAGUAGAGGUGGGCGGAAUUCGUGGUGUAGCGGUGAAAUGCUUAGAUAUCACGAAGAACUCCGAUUGCGAAGGCAGUUCACUGGACUGCAACUGACACUGAGGCUCGAAAGUGUGGGUAUCAAACAGGAUUAGAUACCCCUGUAGUC